RNAcentral lists this ribosomal RNA (250 nucleotides) under uncultured bacterium. Its description in RNAcentral is "partial 16S ribosomal RNA". It matches the Rfam family "Bacterial small subunit ribosomal RNA", at positions 524 to 773 of the family's 1533-position model. The record is from RNAcentral.
GACGUGGGAGGCAAGCGUUAUCCGGAUUUACUGGGCGUAAAGCGCGUGUAGGCGGUGGUGCAAGUUGGGCGUGAAAUCUCCCGGCUCAACUGGGAGGGGACGUCUAAUACUGCAUCACUUGAGGGCAGUAGGGGGGAGUGGAACUCCCGGUGUAGCGGUAAUAUGCGCAGAUACCGGGAAGAACACCCGUGGCGAAGGCGGCUCCCUGGCCUGCUCCUGACGCUGAGACGCGAAAGCUAGGGGAGCGAUC